UACGGAGGGAGCUAGCGUUGUUCGGAAUUACUGGGCGUAAAGCGCACGUAGGCGGUUAUUCAAGUCAGAGGUGAAAGCCCGGGGCUCAACCCCGGAACGGCCUUUGAAACUAGAUAGCUAGAAUCUUGGAGAGGUCAGUGGAAUUCCGAGUGUAGAGGUGAAAUUCGUAGAUAUUCGGAAGAACACCAGUGGCGAAGGCGACUGACUGGACAAGUAUUGACGCUGAGGCGCGAAAGCUAGGGGAGCGAACUGG
RNAcentral lists this ribosomal RNA (253 nucleotides) under uncultured bacterium. RNAcentral's name for it is "partial 16S ribosomal RNA". It matches the Rfam family "Bacterial small subunit ribosomal RNA", at positions 524 to 776 of the family's 1533-position model. The record is from RNAcentral.